AUUGAACGCUGGCGGAAUGCUUUACACAUGCAAGUCGAACGGCAGCACGGACUUCGGUCUGGUGGCGAGUGGCGAACGGGUGAGUAAUGUAUCGGAACGUGCCCAGUCGUGGGGGAUAACGUAGUGAAAAUUACGCUAAUACCGCAUACGAUCUAUGGAUGAAAGCGGGGGAUCGCAAGACCUCGCGCGAUUGGAGCGGCCGAUAACAGAUUAGGUAGUUGGUGGGGUAAAGGCCCACCAAGCCAACGAUCUGUAGCUGGUCUGAGAGGACGACCAGCCACACUGGAACUGAGGCACGGUCCAGAAUCCUACGGGAGGCAGCAGUGGGGGAUUUUGGACAAUGGGCGAAAGCCUGAUUCAGCCAUUCCGCGUGCAGGAUGAAGGCCCUCGGGUUGUAAACUGCUUUUUUACCGAACGAAAAAGUUUCUACUAAUACUAGGGGCUCAUGACGGUACUGGAAGAAUAAGCACCGGCUAACUACGUGCCAGCAGCCGCCGCGG
RNAcentral lists this ribosomal RNA (500 nucleotides) under uncultured bacterium. Its description in RNAcentral is "partial 16S ribosomal RNA". It matches the Rfam family "Bacterial small subunit ribosomal RNA", at positions 30 to 523 of the family's 1533-position model. The record is from RNAcentral.